RNAcentral lists this transfer RNA (72 nucleotides) under Camelus bactrianus (Bactrian camel). It matches the Rfam family "tRNA". Rfam says of the family: Transfer RNA (tRNA) molecules are approximately 80 nucleotides in length. Their secondary structure includes four short double-helical elements and three loops (D, anti-codon, and T loops). RNAcentral also lists the same sequence under 1 other name. The record is from Rfam by way of RNAcentral. Lineage: Eukaryota; Metazoa; Chordata; Mammalia; Artiodactyla; Camelidae.
GAGAUUAUAGCUCAAGUGGUAGGGCACAUGCUUAGCAUGCACAAGGUCCUGGGUUUGAUCCCCAGUAUCUCC